UACGAAGGGGGCUAGCGUUGCUCGGAAUCACUGGGCGUAAAGCGCACGUAGGCGGAUCCUUAAGUCGAGGGUGAAAUCCUGGAGCUCAACUCCAGAACUGCCUUCGAUACUGAGGAUCUCGAGUCCGGGAGAGGUGAGUGGAACUGCGAGUGUAGAGGUGAAAUUCGUAGAUAUUCGCAAGAACACCAGUGGCGAAGGCGGCUCACUGGCCCGGUACUGACGCUGAGGCGCGAAAGCGUGGGGAGCAAACAGG
Molecule: ribosomal RNA, 253 nt
Filed under: uncultured bacterium
Lineage: Bacteria
Description: partial 16S ribosomal RNA
Rfam family: Bacterial small subunit ribosomal RNA
Source: RNAcentral